GGGGAAUUUUGGGCAAUGGGGGCAAUCGUGAUCCACCCAUGCCGGGUGAGUGAAGAAGGCGUUGGGGUUGUAAAGGUUUUUCAGCCGGGAAGAAAUAGCACGGGUUAAUACUCUGUGUGGAUGACGGUACCCGAAGAAGAAGCACCGGCUAACUACGUGCCAGCAGCCGCGGUAAUAAGUAGGGUGCGAGCGUUAAUUGGAAUUAUUGGGCGUAAAGAGUGGGCAGGCGGUUAGUUAAGUAAGACGUGAAAUCCCCGGGCUCAACCUGGGAAAUGCGUUUCUGACUGUCUGACUAGAGUGUGGCAGAGGGAGGUGGAAUUACUCGUGUAGCAAUGAAAUGAGUAGAUAUAUGGAGGAACACAGAUGGCGAAGGCAGCCUCCUGGGCCAAUACUGACGCUCAUGCACGAAAGCGUGGGGAGCAAACAGGAUUAGAUACCCUGGUAGUUCACGCCCUAAACGAUGUCAACUAGUGUUCGGUGGGGAGACCCAGUGAGUACCGCAGCUAAC
Molecule: ribosomal RNA, 508 nt
Filed under: uncultured bacterium
Lineage: Bacteria
Description: bacterial SSU rRNA
Rfam family: Bacterial small subunit ribosomal RNA
Source: RNAcentral